GCCUGGGUGGCUUAGUUGGUUAAGCAUCCAAGUUCAGCUCAGGUCAUGAUCUCACAGUUUGUGGGUUCAAGCCCCACAUCAGGCU
This 85-nucleotide transfer RNA is filed under the name Felis catus (domestic cat). It matches the Rfam family "tRNA". Rfam says of the family: Transfer RNA (tRNA) molecules are approximately 80 nucleotides in length. Their secondary structure includes four short double-helical elements and three loops (D, anti-codon, and T loops). The record is from Rfam by way of RNAcentral. Lineage: Eukaryota; Metazoa; Chordata; Mammalia; Carnivora; Felidae. RNAcentral also lists the same sequence under 2 other names.